AAAAAAUUAGUUAAAUUUAAAUAACAUUAAUUUGUCAAAUUAAAAUUACUAAAAAUAUUUUUUA
RNAcentral lists this transfer RNA (64 nucleotides) under Stomaphis sinisalicis. RNAcentral's name for it is "tRNA-Asp". Lineage: Eukaryota; Metazoa; Arthropoda; Insecta; Hemiptera; Aphididae. The record is from RNAcentral.